GUCUGCAAAAAACUGCAGGAAAAAAGCUAUCAAGUGUCUUUAUCUCUCACUCAUAAAAGUGAAAUAAAGUCUGUAUUGUGCUACCUUCAACCAGUGGGAGCAACUGUAUUUCAGGGAGUUAAUGAGAGGCUCAGAGAGAGGUAAGGAAAGCAAGGCCUGGGCACAGCUCUCUUCACAUUAGUACUGACUGCAGUCUGACUUCUCCCACUCUCAUGAGCCUUAGAUGGUGUCUGCCAGGGCACAGACUGCCUCCCUUCCAACCUGUCCAACCCCAGACUGAUGGAUAUGCUGUCUCUUUUUCCACAGAGCUGUACAGGGUGGAGAUGUGACAAGAAAACUGGCCAUUGUCAGCUCAUGCGAAAUCACAGUGAAGGUCACACGUCUGCAGUCUUCUCUGUGAUAUAGCUGGUGUCAACACUUCUUCUCACUGCUGGUUUAUCUCAUUUAAAACUGCAGGCUUCCCUGAGGACUUUCAGCAAGGUGGCUAAUGCAUGUAUUACAGUAUAAUCUCACUUUUUUUUUUUUUUUUUUUUGACAGCACAGACAAAGCAUUGAAAGCACCUAUUUGGAAGAGUAGAAGACAUUUGAACUUCUGUCUUGUCUUGGAGGUUUCACUAAAAUAGAGGAUCAUUCAUUUUGUAGACAAUUUUGAAAAUCCUAUGGUAAAAACUGUCAGGAAGUUACUUUUCAGCUAGUGGGAAAACUUUUUCUUGCAAUGAAUCUGAUUGCACUGUAAAAUAUUCCAUUUGUAUAGCUUGCUGCUUCUUUUACAAAAAUAUUUACAAGCGAGAGGUUUUUUUCCUUCAGAACAAAUCUGUUCUUUCUAUUUCACGUUCAACUGAAGUCAUAAAACACUAACAUGCAUCACAAUUUCCAGCUGGGAAAAAAAAUUGUGGUUAUCAUUCAUUCAAGCUUGGGCAAAGGACAAAAUGUGAAGUUUUUAAGGACUUAAUGUUAUGUUUUUUUAAAGGACUUUUUUUUGAGUGCCUCAUGAAGCAUGAACUGCUCUUCUGUGUUACUCAAGGAUGGAUGGAUAUUCAAUAGGCUAAUAUUUACCAUGUUGGAAAAAGAUUCAAACCACGUGAAUAUUUGUUCAUUCCUGUUGGCUUAACAAAACUGACAGUCAUGUCACAUUUUAUCAUGACAUGCACCAGACAGAGAACAGCAUCCUAAAAGCCAGUUCAAAGCAGCAUGUCAUGUACAGCAAAAAACUGUAAGGAGAUAUUGUCUGACUUUGAAUGGGUGGUAAAAAACUCUACUGCCUUCAGAUUUUCUUUAGUAAGAAAUGUCUUAUGCCCAGCAUUUGAAACAUAUUAAGAGUUGCCUGGCUUUCUGCUGCAAUAUUUUCUUGUUUUACUAAUUCCCUGGGUUUCACCGUACCAAGUUGUAUUAACACCUUGCAGCUGUAAUGGCAUGGCUGAGAGUCUCUUCAUAAAGAUUAUGGGACACACAGCUACAGUGGGUCCAUUGUGAGAGUUUACUAUAGGCAGCCCUACCAGGAUGAUGACACUGAUGAGGGUGUCCUCCUCCUUCAAGGAACAAAGAGGGUUCCUCUAAAUCACCUGCCCCUGUCCUUUCUGGGGACUUUUGCUGGGUGUAGGGUGGGAAUACCACACAGCUGGUACAAACAGGCUCAGGAGAUUACUAGAACACCUGGAUGAUAACUUCAUGGUACCUGUACUAAGAGAGACAAGUGGUGAAGGUGCCCUCCUUGAUUUGAUGCAUGUUGAGAGCAAAGGUGUCAUGAGCAAAGCAAGUGGCAGUGCUCUUGGCCACAGUGUCCAUCAAGCAGUUGAAUUUAAAAUCUCUGGUGACAGGAGGAAAAGUGGCAGCAAUGCUUCAAGCCUGAACACAAGGCAAAUAGACUGCUCAGGAAAUUAGUAAGAUCCCCUGGGAAAAUGCCUUUGAAGGUUCAUCAGUGCUGAUCAUGUUUUCUAUGUAGUUUUUCAGUAAAAAUAUUCCUGGUUCUAUUUUUUCAAUUGACUUAAAGAGUAAAAUUUCCCAGUUGACAUCUAGUUUUAAUAUUCAAAUAUUCAUUAAAAAUGCAGAUUUUGUGUUCAAUUCUGUGGUGCUCUUAUACUGGCUGUAUACCUUUGGUAUGUUCCUCUCACUUUUUUUCACUCUGUGAUGUAAAACAACAACCUCCAAAAAUUGCUGUAUCCAUGUCAGUAGUGAUACAUCUUUUCUCCAAAACCAUUGUCCAGUCUUUUGUAUUUGAAAAUGCCUUUGGUUGAAGGUAAUUAUUCUGCAUUUCUAGGUCAUAGUUUGCUAUAAUGAAAUGGGAGUGGAGAGGGCCUUGAGCCUAAUUCCAGAAAAAAUCACCUUCAAGCAAGUUCUACCAAAUGGUGAACAUUUGCUCUAUUUGUAAUUAGUAGGAGGGAAGGGGAAAAGGAAAGUGUCAUUUUUCUCUGAGUGUGGAUUACUUACAGACAUUCUGUUUCCUACUACCAAGGUCUUGUGGUAGCUCUUUUUUUUCCAUUACCCCACAGCUAUUCAUUAGCUGAUGUGCCAAUGUCUGUCACAGUUUCUCCUGUGGGACAAUGGUGUCUUAAUAUUUUAGCAACAGCACAGAGAUGUAAUUAUCUGUAAAUAAUUUAACAUGUGUUUCAUCCAUGUGGAAGCUAUCCAAUCAGUCAAAGCAAAAAACUCCCUACAUUUUCUAUCAAAGUUUGAGUCUUCUGCAAUAUGUUUGUUGUCAUCUUUGGAUUCUCAAAAUCCUUCAUUAGGUAUUUCCUCCCUCAAAUAUUUGGAACAUCAAGCCAUCUUACAUUUCUGGGGACAAACUCAGACAUGAUGUGAAUAAGUAUAUCCUGAGGAAUUCGUGAUGUUUAAACCAUAUAUAGUAUUAGAGUAUUACUGAAUAUUGUGUGCCUUGUUAAUAUUUAUUACCUAUAUUCAGGAAGAACAUACAUAACUUUAAUUAAAAGUUUUUUAAAGAUAAGAGUAUUAAUUAUGCUGGCUAUAUAUUUUCUUCUCUCUGAUCAAGCAAGCAUUCAAAAAUUAAUUUUCAUCAGCUUCAUUUUCUUGUUAUUUUUCUUCCUUUGCACUUUACCAUGACAGUUUUGUAAAAUGAGAAUGAGAUUAAAAAUUAAAACAUUAUUCACUGCAUGGGCAUUCAGAAAGAGAGGAAUUUAUUUGCCUGACACCAGCCUCCAAAGGGUCCAAAAGAGGCAGUCAGACCUGUGCUGAAUGUUACUGCUAGUUUAUUCACACGUUAGUAAUGUCUGCCAUCAGUUUAUGAUGUACCUAGCUUCUAAAAUAAACUGCCUAGAAAUAAGUGAGUAAAUGUGAGUAAUCCCAAGGAGUAUUAUAGCAUUAUUUCUUCUUGGGAAGACUGGAAUGCAUAUAGCUCUUUCUAGGACCAAGGUUAGAAAAUCCUUUGGAAUGGAGGCCUUAUCUCCCUAUAUGCAAAGAGUUUACCAUUCUCUGGAGGGUAUAUUCAUGUGUAUAAAUGACAUAUUUGAUUCAUGUUUGACAAAGUUUGAUAUAAGACAUUUCCAAUAUGUAUAAUUUUUAGCUAGAAGAGGAGCUGACUUCAGCUAUUUUGAAUGUUUAAAUUUCACUUUAGACAUUGAAAGACUGCAUAUUUACCUGAGCAUGUGUGUGUAUGGGACAAUUUAUGGGUAAUCUCAAUUUGCACUGCAAUCUCAAAGGUUUCCCUGUGAUUCUGAAGUAAGAAUAAUGUGAAGAAUAAUUUCUGCAGUCCUCAGAGUGAAAAUCAGUCUGUGCAUAUGUGUCUAUAACAGAGAAAUUUAUUAGCUAGAGCUAAUAUGAGCCAGGAUAAUCUAUACUUAGGAGGGAUAUACUUGACACAGCAUAAGUUCUAGCUACUUUGGCUGGAAGAUAAUGAUUAAAGAGAUACCAGCUUGUUUAAAAGUGUGAAUUACACUCACUUUCAAUGAGGUAGGAAUAAUAAGCAUGAAUAUAUUCGUCCAAAAUUUCUCUUAUAUGAGUGUGCUCAUACAAUAGAAAAGUGUAAAGAAUUUGAAAUCAAGGGGUUUUUAGCAAAAAGUGAGCACUGUUAUUAGUUACUGAGUGAAUUUCUUCUGCUUUAGUAUUGUUGCUAUGCAAAAAAAUCACGUUCUUUGAGCAACCAGAUGGAAGAUAUAUUGAACUGUUGAAAUAUAUUAAGCAUAAGAGCAUUCUGAGUGUAAAACACUAAAAGAUGGAAGGCCAAAUCCUGAGGGUUUUUUUAAUCAUAAUUUAAUAUUAUAAUGGAGCCUCACUAAUGAGAACCUAUCUGACACUCCAGUGUCAGCUCCUUAAAAGCUAAUGGAACAGCAGCAGUAAGGAUUCACAGGACUAUGAACGGUACUGCAGACCACACUGUUGAUUUGAAGUCAUAUCUUGUGUGCAGGAUAUGUUUCAGAUGUAUUUGAAUAAUAUUUGUGAAUAAUAUAUAAGUUAAUUUUUUCCCAGUUAAUUAUCAAAUGCAUUAUUAAUGAACACGUAUUAUUCAAUUGACAUUUUAUAAACUCAAAUAAUUUAUGUAAAUAGAUUAAUCUAGAUUUUUACCCCUUUUCUCUGUGGCUUUUUUUCCCUCAGAGAAGGCAACUUCUACUAAAUUUUGUUUUACCAGUGAAAGGAUUCAAUUCAAUUUGUUUUUAUUGUACUGUUAACUUGCAUUUCUAAUGUCCCCAUGGGAAAUCACUGUAGAGUCAUUAGUGUGCUUUAAAUUCACAUUGGAGCUUAAUUUACAGUAACGUGACUAAGGAAAAAACUUAGUAAGUACAUAUCAUUUUUUCACUGAGGUUUUAAUUUUAAAACAUGCAUAUUCUUCCUUGUUCCUUUAGCUACAGCAAAAUAGUUGAUUUUCAUUAGAUGUACCCUUUAGUCUAACUGUCAAGUUAGGUAUGAAUGGAAUAGAAACCUGACUAUGGAGUUAAAUUAUUUUUCCUUAUUAUUUUGUUAUAUAAACUCAAAAUAUUUACUAUCAGGAAGUCUCCAAUUAAAAAGAAAUAAUAUGUUACUGAAGUAUGCAUUGUUUAAGUAUAUGUAUCUUAACCUGCGUGUUGUAUGGAUAUGUAAACACAUGAGUUAUCAUGCAAUUAAUGUAGAUUUAAUGAGGAACUUUGACUAUUUAUAGUUUUAUAAUUCAGGAGGCAUCUCCUUCCUCUCUAUUAGGAUUAUAAGGAUUUGAUUUUGGAGGACAUAUUUUCUUCAUGUGUGAGUACGUUGACAAGUGCAGUGGAGCCCUGAUAACUGAUAUGUCUCCAUAAUCUUGUCUAAUUGACAUCUUGGACAUUUUUGAGUUUUCACAUUGCCAGAAGCAUUGACGAAGCGUUGCUAAAUGAUAAUAUGCAAAGCUUGUUUCCACAGCUCAGAUGAAAUAAAUAGUCUGUACUUUGGAGCGCAGUCUGUGAGGGAUAAAGUCUUACUAAGCUGUAGAAUGGUGAAACUCUGAUGCUUUAAGUAUUGGAUAGGGAACAAAUAACAGGUGGGGCCAUGCCAUCAUACAGCUAUUUCUGUAAUUGCAUCGUUCUUUUCUGAAAAUAUCUCAGAAGGAAAACAAUCCCCAGCAAUCCAUUCAGUAAAUGGCAGAAAUAAUGAUCCUAGAUCCAAUCAACAGAUGUCCAAUGUCCUCAAUUGUCCAUCAUUGCAGUAUUUCUGGCUCCUUUCUCUACCCUCUACUACUCUUGCUGUAGGAGUGGGAACAGCCUAGAAUAAUGUGCCUACUUUUUUUCUUUUUUCAUUUUUUAAGUGUUUUCAUAGAUGGGUAAAGCUCUAGAAUGAAAAUUAAACUACACAGUUAUAAAAAAGUAAUGAGACAGAAAUUAUGUCACGUAUAUCUAUCAACCUGGCUUCAAAUAGGGAACAUGUUUGCGCUAACAUAGAUUUCAGGAAUACACUGUAUUAUACAGUGUAUCCUGAAAGUGUUCUAGCACAUUUGGUGAAGUCGCUGUUCUACCUGUUUAAAAGUUAGAGUAGAGCAGUGAGGACUGAGCAGAGGUGCUAGUAGACAAAAUACUUAGAAACUUUGCAGCCUCAAUUAUUAUCUUGACUUCAUCCUUACCUGCUCAGAACUUCCCUAUGGCUGAUACCCAAUCCAGGGCCACUGAGGCCAAUAUAAAAUUGCUACGGACAUUAAUAAGAGAAGGAUUUCCUUUAUAUUGAAAAGAUUAUAUUUAAUAUAUAAAAAAUGGCAAUAAAGUGAGUUUCAAUUGGAAAAGUAAACAGUGUCGACAUAUCUUUGAAAAUUCCAUUCUGAACAAACUAACUGCAAAAAACCCUCUAAAAAUGACUUACAUAAGUGACAUUUAUUGUGAAUAGGAUAUAUGAUCAGAAACUGGUUGAAACAACAAGAGUAAUAGAAAUAUAACAAGACUUAUCAGAAUUAGGUAUGUCUAGAUAGAUGAAAGUAAAAAGGUCACUUUUUCUCUCUUUGGUUGUUUACUUUGAUUUUAAAGGAAGGAGUGCAAUCUCUGAGGAUUUUAAAUAUAGUGGCAUAAUGAAAGUGAAAAUAAACCCCAAAAAUAACUCAAAAUCACUGAAAAUGCAAAAAAGAUCUCUUGGGAAUAUGAUCUAGGGGUGAAAUAGUAUAGUUAAAGUGUCAGUCAAAGUAAAGAAUCUUAUUAAAAGCAUAAUGUUGAAAUUUCCUGGUGAGAAAUAUAGACAGAAAAUACAGCAAAAGAUCUAUGUUGCUUUAUGACAUCACUUUAAGGAGUUGGAAAAAAACCAGAAAAUACAAAAUAAUAGAAAAGAUCUGAAUGUAAGGUGAUAGAAUAAGAAUAAUAGAACAAUCAGACCCGAUAAGUCACAAGAAACAUUUUGAAGCAAUAAAAUGUAAUAGGAAAGACUGUAUAAAUAAAUUGAAAGAAAAAAUGCUUUACUCAUCAGAGAGAAAAGAAAAUAGUGAGCAACAUAGUGAAGACAGAUGUAUGGAGUUCUUUUUGUAAAGUAUUUGUAAAAAAAUCCAUGGUGAUUGAUUCUUAAAACUUUUGAAGAUUGUAGGAAGUACAAUAGAAGAAGAAGGGUGAAAUGAAAUGUAGGUAAGUCAAAUGAUAAGACAGUUUACGAGACAUCACCUGGGGUGACUUUCAGCAGUGGGGCUGUGGGUGAAGUUCACUAUAAGUUGAUCCCAAGUGGGAAAAUAAAGGCUUGAUCUUAUAAUAUCUGGUGUUAUGCAACAAGGCAAGAAAGAUGAUGUAGUAAAUAAGCUGACAAAAUUUCCACCAGCAGUAAUUUCUGUUAACAUUUUUGCUUUUUUAAACUAUAACACACAGAAGCCCUUCCAAGUACUGAGAAAACCCUCUCAACAGGACAACUGGAUCUCAGUUUCAGGUUAUGAACUAGGGAAUAAAAGACUUAGUCAGAUAAAUGCCCAGUGUAUGGAAAAUCUGGUUUAUGAUCAGUGAAGAAAUGGAUGAAAUGUAGACAAAUGAAGGAAGAUAGCAAAAUUCCCCUGUAUCCUCUCCAAUCUAAUUUGAAUCUCAUUAUGUUCUCAUACUUUAAAACUCUCCCUUGUAUCCACAUGACAGCUGUAAGUAGUGAAGCAACACAUCUAUUUCUCCACCCACUCCCCAAAGAAAGAAUAAUGUAAAAUAAUGUAAAAUAUUUAUGCUUUGUGUUUAUGUAUUUACUGUAGCAUUUCUAUAUAGAUGUAGCACUGAAGAAAAAUUUUAAUUGAUUACAGACAUAAUCUGGUACCUCAGAACAGCCUUGAAAAGGACUAAUUGUUGAAGAAUAUAUUGGGAGCAUGAUUUUUUUGUACCUCCACUACCCUACACUAUGCUUAUAGACCAGAGGCACCAAUCUACUAUAUUAAUGCAAAAAAAUGUACUAAUGCAGUUUCCUCUUUACUGAAGUAACACAGGGAUCUUGUGACCAAAUUUCAGAAUGAAGUCUAUCUUAUAGGAGGUCUUUCUGGACAUUGUAUAGGUAUUAAUUUUAAAUGGGUGAUAUUUGUGCCUCUUCUUCAGAAUAAUCCUAAUACACUGAGAAAUUUCUGACUGUGACAGAUUAGGACUCAGAUAAAAGGUUAAGAUCCAGAUAAAAGAUUCCAAAAUAUUUGUCGCAUGUGAAAUAUUUUCUAGUUUAGUCAGGUUAAAAUAAUCUGACAUCCCCCCAAAUAUCAAUUAAUUUCUUUGCUUACACUGGACUCAUUGAUGUUGUAUCUCUAUGCUCAAACAAAUCAAUGCCUCUUUUAAUUAUUUCAUCCAGUUCCAGCAGACUCAUGUUCUAUUUAACAUGUGUGUCAAUAUUUCCCAACUCCAUUUCUAUUCUUUUGUUUGAUUUCAUGUUUGGUAAGUGUUUAAUGUGUAAGUCCUUAUAUUACUUUUCACAUUAAGUGAGGUAGAUAUUUAUGUUUUUCAGUAGUUAAAUUUGAUAUUUAGAAAAAGUGUAUUCAAUAUGAUUCUUUAGUAAAAUAAAAAUAAAAAACCUAAUAAAAUGUGGAAUUGUUGUAAUUUAUCAAUUCUACUGUAAUACUUUGUAUGAAACUGAGUAUGUACUUACACCUGCUUCUGGUGUAGAAUCAUAGUAAGUCUCAAGUUGUGUACAACUAAGGUAAAGCUAAAACUCAAAUAGUGGAAACUUAUAUACUACAAGAAAAAAGACCUCUCAGAUUCCUGUUCUUCUUGAGCUUAGUUGCCUUGAAACAUACAAGACUGUUCUAGCAACCACAUAUUAUUUAAGAAAUUAUUUUAGGACAUUUCACUGACAGGCAGAUGAAGCCUGUCAAUAAUUAUACUGAAAAGCUCUGGAAGUCUGUGAAGCCAAGGAUCCAAUAAAAGCUAUUUUACCUGUAUACCUGUACUGUACUGAUUUUUGAAUAUAUGUAUAUUCAGAAUAGAAAGCUAAAGGUAGCUCAGCCUCUGUGGAAAUAAUUCUUCUGUUCAUUACAAGCUGUCUGAGUUUAAGUUGAUUAGACCUCAGAAGAAGAGUAGAGAUUUUUAUGUCUUUUCUGUGGUCAUAGAAACUACUGUAAACAAUACAAAGAGUCUGAAAAAACCUAUUGUGAGACAGAUUGAACUGAGUGUAUAGAGGAGUUAAUGAAUUAGGGUGUUAAACUUGAGCUGUUUUCUGUUUUGCAGUAUUACUGGUUUUUGUUUUUUUGAGGAUUCAACAUAUUAAAUUCUCAGGGGGUCACCCUGUCAGCCUCAAUUCUGUGGCCUGGAUUUAGUUGAAUCAAUCCUAAUUGAAAUUCUGCACAGGUCUGGUAUUCUGUGGAGAUUGCAGAUGAAUGACAGUGCAGUGGCAGGAAAGAUAAAUAUGCUGGCAAAUGAGAUCCAGGGUCUCCACAGAGGAUGGAAUAAAUUACUUUACCAAUACAGUGGAGGUAAUAUGCUGGAGAAAGAAAGUGAAAUCGAAGCUAGUUUAAUACAAGGCUUGUUAAAAAACAUAUGAGAAAAGAAGCCAACAAUGCAGUUAAGAUUUACUUAAAAUACAGAUUUCUGAUGUGAAUGUAUUUAGGCCACUUCUUUUCUAUUGUGAAUAAUGAUCAAUGCAUACACUUUAAUUUCAUUUAUGCAGACAGCAGCUUGCACAAUUUAAAUUCGUGCAGCAUUCUGUGUGUAACUUGAGGCCCAGUGGUAACUGUGGUAUAGCAUAUUGAUUAGCAAUUUGAUAAAUAUAUAAAAUGGCACACUGAGUUUAAGGUGCUUCAUGAAAAAUGUAUUUAAAUGACCUUGGCUAAUUAGCGUGAAUAGCUUUGAGGCACUGCUGCCUGAAUGAAAGACAUUUUUAGAGUCCAGAGAUUUAAAAGGUUUCAUGACUGGAUGAACAAAAUUUAAACCAAGGGAAAAGAGCAAACAUUAAUUUUCAUAGAAAUUAAGGUGAAUUAGAUGACCUGAUAGAACUUUUUUCCAUUUCUUGCAGGUUCUGUACUGUUCUUCUUAGCAUAUGCCUGUUACUCCUUUCCAUCUAAUUGCUAAAUUUCUUAAAUAACCAGGAUUUCAGCACUUUCCUCAGAAGAUUAUUUUAGAGUCUAAUGGAUCAGAAAGUAUUUUCUAAUAUACAUCUAAAAUUAUCCUUUUCACAGUGUAAGCUAUUACUUCUUUAGGUAGUUAUGGUUUGUUGUAAUACUUGAAAUAAUUCCUCUCCUUCCUCUGUGCCUGUAUCCACCUACAAUAUGUAGGUGAUCACUUAGUAAAAUUAUAGGAAUAUAUUUUUUAUUCUCAUCUCAUAAACCAGUUUCUUCCAUUAUUUAACAAUAGUAUUUUGUCUUUCCAGAGCUAAUUUUUGCAUAAUAGUGAUGUUGUCACAGUGCUGAAGUUAGACUGAAGUUCUAAUCCAGGCUGAAAAAAGCUCUUGCCUCCUGUAAAUUCUGAUAUACAUCAGCAAUUUUCAUUGUCCAUUUUCAAUCUGUUGUUUCAUUCUACAGCUGAAUUUUUUUCACUGUUUACACUUGAAACCUCCUUUUAUCACUGCUGUUUUCUUUACAAAAUGAAGAAAUUGGUUUUAAUCCAUAGUUUCACUGAAGUGUUGGCUCAUGCUUCUCUGAGCUCAGUCUUUAUUUUCAUUUUAUGUUACACAAAGCAUGUUCAGAGGUAAUUUGGCAUAGAUCUAAGCGAGCAUGACUCAGUGAAAUCACUGUAGGCUGCCAUGCUAAUAUGAGAAAUGCAUCUUAGACAGCAAGUAGAAGACAAUUGUCUGGAAUGGAGGUGAGAUGGUAACUCUGACUGGAAUGGUCUCCUGUGAAGGAAAGAAAUCUCCCUGAUGGAAGAAAGCAAUUAUUGCGAAAAACCAAACCCAAACAAAUGUUCAAUCAAGAUAUAACUUCUAUCAAAAAAUCUUCAGUGAGAAAACUUCAGUUUACUGAAGAGUUGGCAAUAUAUGGCACCACUAACCCAGCUCAGAACUUGAUUGACAUGGAGUAUCAGGAGAUACUGUGAGGAGAGGGCAAGGAGUUCAAGAACUUGUGGAAAAAAAGAAAACUUCAAUCCUUUCAAAGUGCUAUAUUACCCAUCCUAGAAACAAUCAAUCAACAGAAAUUUGCUUCUAUCAGUGUUUUAGCUUCAGAUCUUCGAUCACUGCUGAAUCAAAAAUUUGUAACCUGACUCCAACCUAGUCCAUGUUUGUGAAUCAGCACAUAAAACACACACUCUCCGUCACUGGGAAGUGCCUGCUCUCUAGGAUACUGCCCUCCUCCUUGGUAGAAUUCCAUGUUGUGGAAGAAGCUGAAAAAUAUCUUCUCUAACUGAUCACAGAGCUGAGACAAGCAUUUCAGCAUCAGUAAUGGCUGAUCAUGACCCCACACAACUGUGUCUCCAUCUCUAUUCAUGUUUCACUCUGCUCUUGUCAAGAUAGCACUGCUGAAAUCAGGCUCCUAAGAGCAGUAACACAAUGUGGCACUGCUGCUGCAAUGAAGAUAAAAGGCAAGUGCACUCAUCUUGUGGCCUCAGGACUCUUGCUUUGCUGGUGAGUUGUUCUGCAUGUGUUUUCUGGGCAGAGAGUGAAGGAAUGGCAUUGUGGCUGCUCAACUCCAAUGCAGUGUGUGGCUUCACUGAGGAAGAAAGGAACACAUUUGUCACUGUGCCAGUGCAGGCUGGACUCUGCAUUUCUAAACUGCAGCUGCAUUUCUGAAAACCUUUAUUUUCCUUAAGGCUUUGAAUGUUACUUAUCAAUCAGUUUGUGCUCUAUGUAACUGCCUGUUUUGCUUCUGCCCCAAGUCACUGGGAACCAGCUGGGUACGCCCACUAUUGCAGAAUACAGAACAAGCAAGAAUAAAGUUUUAACCUGGAAGUUAUUGCUUAUACAGCUUGUGGAUCUUUGAAACAGUUGCAGUAUUGUAAAUUUAAUAUGUCAGCUCAAGUCUGCAGAACAGGUAGUCAAAAACUUGAACAGUUUGAUGAAAGAGGAGGUGGAGUCUGUCAGCAUCUCUACAAAUAUUUGAAAACUGACUGUCUGUGCUCUUGAGAAGCCAACUGUAAUUGAUCCUGUUCUGAACAGGGAACUAAGACUAGAGGAUCUCCAGAAGUCCCUUCCAACCUCAGAGAUUCUUUGGAAAUAAUUAAGACCACAAUUGAGUUACUGAUCAUAUAAAGAAUCUUUUAUUUUGGUUAAAUACCAAGGGAAAUUUUAAAUGCACCAUCUUUUCCUACUCAGUUAAACUGAAUUUUCAUUGUCUCUAUUUAAUGUAGUUAAUGCUGGGAGGCAUUAUGAAGAAUUAGAAUUUUCCAUAAUUUUGUCUUUCUUUUCCAACACUGCACAGGUUAUAAGGCCAGUACUUCCCAGACACAUGAACAGUUGCAAGCACCAUCUUCAUUGCUAUAGGAAAAUAACUUGUGUACCAAGGAGGCAAAUAUUACUGUUGAGAGGCAUAUUGGUGGAACCCUUAUAUGGAGGGAUGCUUGUGUAGUUGUUUUCCUACUUCUAUUCCUUUUUUUCCCCUAGGAUUAUUUUACUAGGAUAGUGCAUAAAAUCUGACCUUUCUUUGCAAAUCAACGUUUCUCAAUGGACUCAAUUACUUUCACUACUAUCAAAUAUUGGAGAAAGUUUGUUAUUAAGUGACAAUUGCAACAACAAGUUUGAUGAAAUAGGAAGUUCAAAGGUGCUCAGUAAGCAGCUGCAUCACAGUAUUUUUAGAAAGACUGGAACCUGUAUAAUUCCCCAAGCUGCUACAAAAUAACUUCUGAACAAAAUAAAUAAGAGUAUUAUUGAAAAUCUGGGGAUCUGCAAACUUCGAGGGCUACAGGGAUUUCAUGAUACCUGAAUAUGAAUGCUGAAUCACUUAUGUAUCUAUUCAAAAUCACUGACUUGGGAACUUACACAACAUGAUGGCAGGUAAUUAUCAAUCACCCUCUACAUCCAGUAUAAUGUACUGCAUUUAUUAUUUCACGGCAUUACAGAGUAACUUUCACUUUCAGCUCUAUCAGCAAAUUCUCAGUUGGCUGCAACAUAAAAAUAUCAAGGUAUCUGCAAGCGAAUCUUUUAAUAUUAUAUUGAAUCUACAGUUCUGACAGGGAAAAUGAAAUAUUAGUUUGGGUUUUUUUUAAGCAUAGGAGUAAGUGCUGAUCAAGUUUGUUUGAAGAACAGUUCAAUUGAUGAUGGUUUCAUUUUAUAGAUCUGGAUACUUUCCACCUUCACUGCUGUAAUGCUAAUAUUUGUGGACAAUAGGUGUAAUAAGACAGUUAAUAUUGUUCAUACUAAAUGACCAAUGAUGUUGUGUGUAAUAUCAGAGUUCUGUCAGUCUUUUUCCGUGCAAAUGCAUUCAUUAGUCUGAUCCUCUUCCUAUUCAUAGAAUUUUCAAGAAAACUUGUGGGAACACAAUUUUUUUUGAGAAUAUAUUUUAAUUAUUUAUUAAUUAUUUAAUUAUUAAUUAAUUAAAUAUAUAUUUAAUUAAUUGGUCAGAUGGGAUAAAAAUUGAAUAAGAUGGAGUUUUGAGCUGAAGAUGGAAAGAGACUCAAUGAUCUCAAAAUGCCUUUUUUUUUUUCUUUUUUGGAAACAGAGUAAAAUAAGCAUUUUCUGACAGUGUAUCUACAGUUGUCUUCUGUGUAGCAAUUUUAGUGUUGAGGUAUGUACCGUGUUAAAAUUACAAAAUAGCAUUAUUAGAUUGAAAUUCUUGAACUGCAAAACACUAAAUUCUAUUUUCUCUAAAGUAUUAUGGCAUAUUUUUCAUGACUAGCAAAAGCCUCACAUGUCUAAAGGAAACAGCCAAACCCAAACCAGUAGUGACAAUUUUUUUGGCCCCUGUAUUUGAAAGAGAACAGAAAUUAAACUUCUGAGUGAAAGGAAAAAUACAAUAUUCUUGACUCAGUAAGAUUUCAUCUGAGAAAUGGUUACUGAAAACUCCCGUUUUGAAAAUGGGCGGCUGAUAAAUAAAUUUGUUUAUGUUUUUGGAGUUUGAGUAAUUUAUCUGGAUUACUGUGUUGAUUGAUGAAAUGGUAAAAAAUAUCCCAGCACCCCAAACUACAGAAAAGUCUUCUGAAAUGGUGAACAAUAAAAUACCAGCUUUGUGUUGUUUACUAGUACCUGUCAAUUUAAUAGCUAAACCAUUAAAAUAACAAAAAAGGCAAGAAAAGACAAGCAAGACAGGUAGAUGCAUUUUCCUCUCCCUUGUUAAAAAAACGUGUUGCUGAAAGGACAUGUGAUAAUUGUAAAAAUUUCCAGUGUUCAUUGUUAGAAAAUGUGGCAAAAAGCUUGGAACAAGGUACAUUAUUUGUGUUCUAAUGUGCCUCCAGGGUGUCCUAAAUUAUGUUUUUUGAUCUUUAAUAUCUGUGUAGUGUCCAUGAAGAACCCACAUAGGCAUGUAGGAAACCAAAAUAAAUUGAAUAUUUUUUUAAUAUGAAGAAAUAAAAAGAAGUCCUCUGAAAAAUGUUUCUAAUCCUUAAAUGAACACUGGGAUGAAAAACUGGGGCACACAGCUUAGCACUGGCAGGGGUGAUAAGCUGGGACUUUAAAUGAGGAUAAUGCAGUUGUUCUCACUGAGCAUUGUUCAAAUGAUGGGUUUUUUUUCCUCUGGUUGUAGUCAGUCUUUCUUCAGAAUCUGGAAAAGUUUUGUUUAGAAAUCAACUCAAUCUUCAUCUAAGUUUAUAAGCUACUGUUCUCAAACAUACCAUUUAACAAAGGGUACAUUUUUAGUGGCAGCUGCUAAAAUCAGUUUUGAUAACACAUUUGCACUUAAAUAGUUCCCGGGACUUCAGUUGUGAACUGUACCGAUUGUCUCUGUGCAAAUAUACUUCAGAAAUUGGACUUUUCAUUAAAUAUAGAAAAAUAAAUGAACAGUUCACCUUAC
Molecule: non-coding RNA, 14674 nt
Organism: Zonotrichia albicollis (white-throated sparrow)
Lineage: Eukaryota; Metazoa; Chordata; Aves; Passeriformes; Passerellidae
Source: RefSeq, a predicted model, not a curated record